RNAcentral lists this long non-coding RNA (1725 nucleotides) under Marmota monax (woodchuck). The record is from RNAcentral. Lineage: Eukaryota; Metazoa; Chordata; Mammalia; Rodentia; Sciuridae.
UAGCAUGCUCGCCUGGCAUGCCUGCGGCCCGGGUUCAAUCCUCAGCAACACAUACAAACAAAGAUGUUGUGUCCGCCGAAAACUAAAAAAUAAAUAUUAAAAAAGAAAAAGAAAUGCAGGCAGGAUUCAGAAAUAAUGGGAAAGCAGGAAAUAUAGGCUUUAGAAAGGACAGGUACCAGUGUAGAUCCUUGGGUGCAAGCACCAAGAAUCAAUGGGUAAUCUCUUAAGGAUACUGCAGUUUUGGUUGACCUCUGACCAUUCUCAAGAACAUUCAAGAUUGAAAUUCUGAUGCUGUGUUUCUCGACUCGUGUAAAAGAAUUGGCUGUGAUUAUAUCCAACAGAGAGCCAUAGUUUGCCAAAGCCAGAUGAGAAGCCAUGACUAGGAAAAAGGGAAUGGAGGUCGAGCAGGCAAAAAUGACAGAGGUUAUGACAGUGGAGGGUGUGGUUAUAUGCUAGACCCUGUAGCAUGGGGAGCCAAUGUUGUUUUUUUUUUUUUUCUUUUUACAUAUACAUAUAUAUUUAGUUGUAGAUGGACACAAUAUCUUUAUUUUUAUUUAUUUUUAUGUGGUGCUGAGGAUCGAACCCAGGGUCUCAUGCAUGCAAGGCAAACACUCUACCACUGAGCUAUAACCCCAGCUCACCCAAUGUUGGUUCUUGAGUCAUUAACUCAUUCUUUUAGCAAAUAGUUGCUGAACUGUGCAUUGCAUUUUGGAGGACACUGAAGAAGUAUAAUAAUGACCUUUAAGAGUGGUGGGAAAGGGUGCUUGGAAUUUACCCAAGAGGACCUGGAAUGGGAUUGUAUUUGCUUUUAAUUUGAGUCAUUAAACUAUAUCUGGGCAUAUGCAACUGUAGCUCAUUUAGGAAAGAUAUUAAGUAAUUCUCUAAUUAUAUGUAUUACACUGUGGACAGAGGAUCCUGAGAAAAGUGACUUCUCUCGCAUGUCAAGAGGCAGAACUAAAGCAGGAUUUGACUUUCUGACUUGAGAAGCUGUUCUGAACUAGCCGCCUAGCAUAUUUUAGGAGCUGCUCUGACAGGGCCUUGGCACCUGGCUCCCCCUAACCAUGAACUUGUCAAGGGCAGGGACUCUAUGUUUCUCCCAGGGACUUGCAUGGCACUGGAUGCUCAGAAGACAGAUAUGCAGCGAGAAGUCCCCAUUUACAGCUUCUAUGGAGGAAGCUGAGCCUAUCUCUGCUUUAGAUGAAGACUUUAGCUGAGGAGUGUGGAAAACAUCCCAACUCUUGUCAGCAAAGCCUGGUCUAGGGGCAUAGAGAGAACUUAUUUCAGAGAAGAAGAAUUCAGAGACUUUUUGUAAUAAGGGGUUGACCUGUAAGCUUCCUGGUGUUCAGGUUGGACAAUUUAUCCAUCUCAAUGUGCACGUUAUUACUCUGGCAAAUAAUGAAACAUUAUGAUCUCACAAAGCAAACCAGUGAGUGUAAUUGUCUCCAUUCAUUUCUCCCCUUGUCUAUGGGAAAAAGCAAGGCCGUGCCUUCACAUUUGCUCAGAAGGAAAUGUUUAUAGAAAUUUGUCUUCAAUCAAGUACUUGUGCAUGUGUGCGCACUUUGUUUAGGAAAACUCGCCAGCUCGCUUGACUUACCUUUGAAGGCUCCUGCAGGGGCCCAGCUGUCUGGGACCCCUCAGAGGCCUGGGCUCAGCAGCCCCGACCCACCUGGGCCAGAGCCCAGCAAGACUGGCCCCACAGCUGGAUCCUGGGACAAUGGACCUCAC